AGGGUUCUGAAUCUGUAAUGUGGAUUUUCAGCAAUCAUUGGACAGCUGGGAAAAUUGUAAAAGAUUUGAGGGUUGGAGUGAAGGUUAAGGUUGUCUCAGCAUUUAAGAGAAGGUAAAGAGAGAGAAGUAAACCACUCAAUGUAAGUGAGCUUUCUGGAGGGUUUAUAUGGGGAGGAAGAGGGGUAGGGCUGAACAUUGUUUCCUCAUGUGUGUGCAGGGCUAGAAGGGAGGAAUUUGGCAGAAGUCCCUCUGGAAGAUAUUGUAGUAUCUGGAGGCGUUCAUCAAACACAUCCUUCUCCCCACUGCUUCCUUUUAGGAGGGAAUUACGGACUGUGAAUCUCAAUUUGAGAGCAAUACAAUGGGUAUUUAUUCUUUUGGAUAAGGAAAGUUGCUAUUAGCCCCCUGACAUGAAAAUACUUCUGGUGAUACAAGGCUUGUGUCCUUGCUUCUGCGCUUCUGUUUGAUCAGAUGGAAGAGUGCUACCAGAGGUACACAUGUGCAGGGAAGGGCAGCUAACAGCACACAGAUUGCCUGUACCCAAGGUGGAUAAACUUUCUCCUGUUUCAUGGGGAAGCCUUCCUAUGGAGACAAAAAAGCAAGAGAAAGAAAUAAUCGGUAUGGAAAGUCUGUGAGACAUUUCACUUCAACACUUCUCAGCAUUACACACACCUAUAACAAAUAUGGAGCACAUAGUAUGUGGGACACCUCAAGAAUAGACACAUUUUAGUAUGUGUAACCUCUUUGCAUACUGGAGCCUUCUCAUUCUGAGCACUACAUCACUUCAGGCUGCAUUCCAUAGACAUACACAACUCCAAUUACUUCAAAGAAAGCAAUGACUAGAAGAGGCACUGAGCCUGCAUAUCUGUCAAAAAUGUCAAUCCAGUAACUCCCUGAACCCAGUGUAAAACACAGAGCAAUGAGGAAGCUAAUUAGACAUAUUAUACCUGAAGAAAAAAGAUAUCUUUGUUACUGGAGUAUUGAACUUGGAUUACCUGUUGGAAGCAGUUAUGGUACCUGAUCAAGAAAUUCUUGAAGGUCACAGUUCUUCAGUUUGAGUCCAGCAAUUUUUUCUGGAUGUGAUGAAUUUAGGAAACUAAUCCAGGAGGUAUAGUUUUGUCUCAUGAUGCUCUCUUCCGGAAGAUCAAAUUCAUUAAUGAUACUCAUAAUGUUCCUGCCAGAGAAGCCAACAUAGCAUUAGUUUAAAUGUUUGCAGAUGAUGUGACUGGAAAUGCUAUGCCGUGUAUCCAGAUGUUACUCAAAAGUUGUGCUUACUUCCUGUGCUGCUUUUUACAAUAUAAAGGAAAAUAAAGGACAGUUUUCUUAUAAAACAGGAAAAAAUAGACUAUUUAAAGUCUUCUCUUUCAGAUACAAACUCUGAGUACUUUAUGCAGAUGCAGUCUCUAAAACAUUUUUAUUUUAUCAGGUUCUCCAGAUCAUUUCUGCCACUCAUGUUUAAUAACGUAGUGAAUCUGGUGGAAUAGAAAAAUGUGUUGGUUUCUUACUACUUCUAGUGCUAGUCUGAGAUUGAGAUGUGAACUUUGAUGCACUACUUGAAAUGGGUAUAUUUAUGUGGUUAUGGCUAUAUAUUUAUAUGGUUAUAAUUCGUCUCGCUUCUUAUGAAUGCUACCCUUAACCGUUCUUGCCUCAGUGCCAUAAUACUUUCUGUUUUUACAUUAGACCUCUCCAUACAUACUUGUCAUCCAUAGAUGCUUUUCCUUUUUAUUGAAAAUAAAUUCUCUAAAUGCAUGUUUUUCAAAUAACACAUUAUCUAUUUAAGCAUUGAAACCACAGCAUAACAUUGGGAACACAACUUUCUCACCUGUCCAAGCAGUCCCAGUAGGCUGUGGUUGCUUUAAACCCCAAAACAGAAAAGACUGGAAUGGAAGCGUAGAGGGAUGUCAUGCUGUUCACAAUUGCUACUGUCACAGCAUCCUUUUCACAGUCGUUUCUAGGGAUAGCAUUCAAACAAGUGAAACAACUUUAAAAGGGCAGUAUUUUAUCUGUGAUUCAGUUAUUUCUGCAAGCAUUUUAAUUUUUUAGAUUCCCCCCCCCUUUCUGUUAGAAGAUCUAUUUGGCCUUUUAGAAAGACAACAUCUUUUAAGUUCCUUUAGAAAAAAUAAGAUAAUUCAUAAAUGUUCUAAAGAAAGAGUUUUGAAAAUUAAAAAAAAAAAAAGCACAGAAUGCAGCAAGAAUUUAGCCAGUUAAUAAAGGCUGUAGUUCUACUUACUUUGGCAGAUUGUAGCUUGAGAAUGCAAUAAGCCCUCCAAAAGCCAAAGAGAGAGAGAAGAAAAUCUGGGUAGCUGCAUCAAGCCAUACACGGGGAUUUUUCAAAGUGUUCAGCUGAAAUAAUUGGAAGAAAUGAAUGUAUUAGGCUUAAAUUAAAAUUGCUUUUUCUCUUCCAGUUCUCAUAGCUCAUCUCUUAUUUCAGUUCUGAAAUUCUGAGGAAAUAUAAGGAAAAAGAAGAAAACUGACAGAGUGAAAUUUGAAUUUUGAUUCUUGCAGGACAACUUGUGUGUCUUCUGUGUCUAUCUGAUCCUGGUACAUGACUGAGAACAUUUGCAGGAGUGAGAGAUUUUCAAGAACAGUGAGGUGUCACAGUUACCAGAAGGUGGACGUGGCAGCUGUCAGAAACUACAAUUUGUGCUGCACUGCAAAGUAGGAAAAAAGUUGGAAAAUAUUGCCUCCGCAUCAGGCAUAGGUGUGUAGGAAGUGUGUGCUGGAUGGGAGCUCAUUUGCAAUUCCUUGAGCUGGGACCCAAAGAGACGUACCAACGCCUCCAAGAUAAGGCGAGACAGUGUUCCAGGCACCAAUGCUGCCUUUCCUCAGGCACUGUCCUAGGGCCAAUUCAAGAUGCAACAGUGGGAUUCCUUCGAAGAACAGAGCAAUGAAGUAUGGGAUCAGGAAAGCCCCUGAAAAGACAAUUAAGUGCAAUUAAGUCACAUGAUUAUCUGCAUCUCUCUAAAAUUAUCAUUUGGUAAUUAAUCUGCUUUAUGAACCUAACAGUCUGUGUAGGAUGCGUGAGGGAUCAUUUCUAGGGACACUUGCCAAAUGUGUUACUGGUAAUUUUGUUGGUGAAGAUGGAGGAAGAAGGACUGGGAUGCUUCGUGUUGCAGGACACUUCCCCUCAGGCAUUUCUACAGCCCAUUAUAAGUAUUUCACUCACGAUUUCAUCCCUUUCCCUUUCUUUUAAGCAUCUUUUGUCCCCAUUCUCAUAAAGAACAAGGAUUUACCUGUCCCCUAUACCAUCUGUUUUCCCUUCAGUGCUUUGGCUCAUUCCCCUUCUUAAAGCUCUCAGGCAUGUGCUCCUCCGUCUUCCACUGCUAAAGCAUGAUUUUGUGCUGGAUACCCCCAAGAGACCAGGUUGCUUUAUCACAUGAGGUUCUGCUCAGAGCACAGAGCCUCUGGCUAACGAAAAACUGAAAGCAAGGCUGAAGUUUUUCUGUGAGACAUGGGGGUAACGAAACCCAAUUUCUUCCCAGUUUGUAUCCUUGACAUCUUUCCUGGUUUUC
Long non-coding RNA from Chiroxiphia lanceolata (lance-tailed manakin), 3509 nucleotides. RefSeq lists it as uncharacterized. The transcript is spliced from 8 exons. NCBI's taxonomy places the organism in Eukaryota, Metazoa, Chordata, Aves, Passeriformes, Pipridae. The record is from RefSeq and is a predicted model, not a curated record.